This 131-nucleotide microRNA precursor is filed under the name Vitis vinifera (wine grape). RNAcentral describes it as "MIR845_2 microRNA precursor family". It matches the Rfam family "MIR845_2 microRNA precursor family". Lineage: Eukaryota; Viridiplantae; Streptophyta; Magnoliopsida; Vitales; Vitaceae. The record is from Rfam by way of RNAcentral.
AGAACGCACACUAAUUAUCCUUGGGGUCAUAGGAUAAACAAAAACCCUGCAAAAACAAGUUAGCACACCUUAGAAUGGUUCUAGCACGGUUACUAACCUAUGGCUCUAAUACCAAUUGAUAAGGAAAACUC